ACGGAACGUAGGCCACCCGCCAUUCUCAGCAGAGUAGAGGGGUAUUAAUCUCCUGCAGAACUCAGGCUAUUAAUCUUGACGCACCUAGUGGCAUUUUAAGGAUCUGCAGAAGAAACCAAACAUUCACGAAAGGACACUCUUGAAUAUGAGUCUCUCAGAGCAAAAAUACAAGUAACCGCACUCCAGUUUGAGUCAUCAGGUAAAUUUGCUGCAAACGAUUUCUUCUGUCUGCACCUUUGGUUUUUGUAUCUCUGGGUUAUGAAAAGUAGCCUCUUGACGUGGUUCAACUUUUUAUUCAUGUGGAGGCCUAAAAUCCAAAACUCUCCACUGUAUCUGAGGUCCUCUGUUAGGUGAAGGACUAGAUUAAAAAAAGGAUUCCUCCCACUACUAAUCAGAAAAUGACUGGCUUUCUGUAGUAUCUUAACCUUGAGUGACAGAAGCGUUUUUUAAACUCAGACUCUGUGUGCAGAACCUGGAUAGAGCCACUGUGCUAGCAAGAAGGAAUAGCUGACUUGAAAGACAAGGCAGACUGAUUCUCCUAUUCAGGCCCAUUCCCAGGACUCCAGUCUUAUCACAAGGCAUACCUGUAAUGAGAGAAGUCCACAAUAAUGUGCUACAGUACCGAGCUGCACCUUUGUCUGGUCUCUUCCAGUUCUGUGCUUUGAGAAAAUGCAGUGCCUAAUUGCUUGAGAAAAGGGUGUAAGAGGGUCAGUGACCUGUACUGGCUGUACAGCAACGAUUAGGGAACUAAUCCUUUUCCCCUCUGAUGCAUAUGCGUGUUUAAAGUUUCUCUAUGACCUUAGCUAAUAAUGCUUCAUCUAGGUGUUUUCCAUUAACAGGUGGGGAAUGAUCCUUACACUUCAGGUGGAACAUUACACUGCUAAUGAGCACUCAUUUAAAAUUUGACACUACUAAUAAAACAUGAAGGAAUGGACUAAAAGAAAAGUUUAGAUUGGUUAGCAGAAAAAAGAAAAAAAGACUGACUAUAGAGACAUGGUGCAAUAAUUACUACUUUAGGUAAAUAGUUUUUAUUUUAGAUAAGGUGCUUGAGACAAGAUUAUACAAUUUCAUGGAAAGAGAAAUGAGGGGUCUUAAGAGUUAAUGAAGAGGUAUUAACCAAGAAGUACUAUCCAACCUUAGCGAUGAAACCUAUGACUGAAUUACCUGGCAGUGCAAAACAGGUGCUUCACAAUUCUAAGGCAGAAGGGAACCCAAAGUGGAAUUAUUAAAAAAGGCUCUUUAGAAACUGAGGCACUGAAAUCCUAUAAUGCCACUGGCAGUGGCUACCUUUCCAAGCUGUCUUGAGAGGUGGCUCAGGGGAACAGAACUCACAUACCUUAAUUAUGUAUGACACACAUUUGAGAAACUUUGCACUCUUGAAGUUUUCUAAUCAAACUUGUUAUACUCUUUAAAAGGCAUUUCAGUGUAACAGUGCCUCUAUUUCUUAUCUCCUACUGCCUUAACUGAUUUUUGUAAUAUUAAGCCAUCUCUGCAGUUCUUCAGACAUGAAUAGAACAAUCAUGUUUACGCCUCUGAACAACUGACAGAGCUUCUGCUGUUAUAUACUUCCUGAUAUUGUGCAAUGGAUAAGAGGGCUCUGUUGUAGAAUUGUAAGCAUUCUAGGUCUACAUCAGCUAGUUCUUUUUAUAGCUAAAACUAUAAGAUCAACUGUCAGUGUUUUGACUUCUCCCUCCCUGAAGCAGUAAGAAAAGUAUUUUCAUGACAAACCUUAAUAGAAAACUCAGUUUCCAAUUUCCAAAGAAAAACUACAAAACAAACUGUAUGAAGAGAUUUCUUAAACAAUUACUGACAGUAAAAAUCCAUGCACUUAUUUUUGUAGCAAAAUCUUCACAAGUGUGGGGAGGUUUUGUUUUUGUUUUUAAAUUACUGAAGAAAAAUGUUUGUCAAAGCUGCCACAGGAUGCCUUUCUACAAACAUUUUCUCAUGAUGUUUUAAUCAUAAUUUAGCUCCACAGUAGAGUUUGUAAACAAAAUGUUGCUCAUGAAGUUUGUAAACAAAACAUUGCCCAUAUGCAGUAGAGGCCACAUAUGCAUUUCCCUUUAUUAUAAUAUUUAAAGACCAUGAUUUAAGUGUUUGUAUUUACUACAGUAUGUCAUUUAUUUAAUAAAAAUUCAGUUUUUUUUUAAAGAAUGUAGUUAUUUUACUUUUUUAAAAAGCAGAUCACUUGAAUUUUAGAUUUUAGUAUACAAACCAAAGCACAUGAAAGGUAUAAAAAUGUUAGUGUGUGCUAUGUAUUAAAUAUCUAGCCACUUAUUUUAAUGCUCUCCUCUGUAAAUUAAAAAAAGCAAGGACCAGAAUGGGAACAAACGUUUAGUUAUUGUAAACAGACAAACUAAUACAGAACAGAAACACUAGUUCUAAAACUUCACAAUUUGACAGCAUCAUUUAUUCUCUCCAAAAAUCAGUUGGGCUUCAAGUAGAAGUUAACACACCAUAAGAACAAAACAACAUUCUACAGUGGAAGCUUUACAAAUCAACUAAAGAAAAACACCGUUGGCAAAAAUGGCUUAGUAGAGCAAUUUUAUAAUGUUGUCAUUUUGUAUUAAUUUCAACUGGUUUGAUAGGAUUUUUGCUGUUCUGCUACCAAAGGUCUUUUUUUAAAAACUGUUCUGUGAACUGUAUGGUCACACUAUAACCAGACAAAAAGACAAGGUAGUAGCAGACCAGCUGCUUUCUAUUUGGAAUUUUUUUUUUUUUUUUUAAUAAUGCUAAUUCCCAAUGCUGUUCUUCCUGUUGCAGAGGGAAAUGGCUUAUUUGGCACAGUAUGGAUAAAAAUAUUAAAAAUUGAAACAAAAAUUUACAAAGUUCCAGUUAUAAGUUAGUAACCACCAGGUAGGGAGGAGGAAAAGUAAAUGUCAUGAGAAUUUUUUAAAAAAAAAACCCUAAGAGUAUAAAUCUUU
This is a long non-coding RNA of Gopherus evgoodei (Goodes thornscrub tortoise), 2921 nucleotides long. RefSeq lists it as uncharacterized. The transcript has 3 exons. Lineage: Eukaryota; Metazoa; Chordata; Testudines; Testudinidae. The record is from RefSeq and is a predicted model, not a curated record.